Molecule: ribosomal RNA, 510 nt
Filed under: uncultured bacterium
Lineage: Bacteria
Description: bacterial SSU rRNA
Rfam family: Bacterial small subunit ribosomal RNA
Source: RNAcentral
CUGGCGGCGUGCCUAAUACAUGCAAGUCGAACGGCUUUUCUAUGGAAGCUUGCUUCCACUGAGAAGAUAGUGGCGAACGGGUGAGUAACACGUGGGUAACCUGCCCAUAAGAGGGGGAUAACAUCCGGAAACGGGUGCUAAUACCGCAUAGUUUUCUUGAUCGCAUGAUCGGGAAAGGAAAGACGGCCUUUGUGCUGUCGCUUAUGGAUGGACCCGCGGCGUAUUAGUUAGUUGGUGAGGUAACGGCUCACCAAGACGAUGAUACGUAGCCGACCUGAGAGGGUGAUCGGCCACAUUGGGACUGAGACACGGCCCAAACUCCUACGGGAGGCAGCAGUAGGGAAUCUUCCGCAAUGGACGAAAGUCUGACGGAGCAACGCCGCGUGAGUGAAGAAGGUUUUUCCGGAUCGUAAAACUCUGUUGUCAGAGAAGGACAAGUUGGAGAGUAACUGCUCCAGCCUUGACGGUAUCUGACCAGAAAGCCACGGCUAACUACGUGCCAGCAGCAGC